CGUCAGAUAGCUCAGUGGUCUAGAGCAGUCGCCCGGCAAGUGAAAAGACCCGGGUUCGAUUCCCGGUCUAGCGA
Non-coding RNA from Harpegnathos saltator (Jerdon's jumping ant), 74 nucleotides. The record is from Rfam. NCBI's taxonomy places the organism in Eukaryota, Metazoa, Arthropoda, Insecta, Hymenoptera, Formicidae.